Molecule: ribosomal RNA, 373 nt
Filed under: uncultured Desulfobulbus sp.
Lineage: Bacteria; Pseudomonadati; Thermodesulfobacteriota; Desulfobulbia; Desulfobulbales; Desulfobulbaceae
Description: bacterial SSU rRNA
Rfam family: Bacterial small subunit ribosomal RNA
Source: RNAcentral
CUAGGGGGUGCUUCCAUCUGGAAGAAUCUGGAGACAGGUGCUGCAUGGCUGUCGUCAGCUCGUGUCGUGAGAUGUUGGGUUAAGUCCCGCAACGAGCGCAACCCUUGCCUUUAGUUGCCAGCAGUUCGGCUGGCACUCUAAGGGACUGCCGUGUUAACCGAGAGUGGGGAUGACGUCAAGUCCUCAUGGCCUUUAUGACCAGGGCUACACACGUACUACAAUGGCCGAUACAAAGGGCAGCGACACUGCGAGGUGAAGCCAAUCCCGUAAAAUCGGUCUCAGUCCGGAUUGGAGUCUGCAACUCGACUCCAUGAAGUUGGAAUCGCUGGUAAUCGUGGAUCAGCAUGCCACGGUGAAUACGUUCCCGGGCCUU